Molecule: ribosomal RNA, 497 nt
Filed under: uncultured bacterium
Lineage: Bacteria
Description: partial 16S ribosomal RNA
Rfam family: Bacterial small subunit ribosomal RNA
Source: RNAcentral
GAUGAACGCUGGCGGCGUGCCUAAUACAUGCAAGUCGAGCGAACAGACGAGGAGCUUGCUCCUCUGACGUUAGCGGCGGACGGGUGAGUAACACGUGGAUAACCUACCUAUAAGACUGGGAUAACUUCGGGAAACCGGAGCUAAUACCGGAUAAUAUAUUGAACCGCAUGGUUCAAUAGUGAAAGACGGUUUUGCUGUCACUUAUAGAUGGAUCCGCGCCGCAUUAGCUAGUUGGUACGGUAACGGCUUACCAAGGCAACGAUGCGUAGCCGACCUGAGAGGCUGAUCGGCGACACUGGAACUGGGACACGGUCCAGACUCCUAAGGGAGGCAGCAGUAGGGAAUCUUCCGCAAUGGGCGAAAGCCUGACGGAGCAACGCCGCGUGAGUGAUGAAGGUCUUCGGAUCGUAAAACUCUGUUAUUAGGGAAGAACAAAUGUGUAAGUAACUAUGCACGUCUUGACGGUACCUAAUCAUAAAGCCACGGCUAACUACGUG